Molecule: ribosomal RNA, 253 nt
Filed under: uncultured bacterium
Lineage: Bacteria
Description: partial 16S ribosomal RNA
Rfam family: Bacterial small subunit ribosomal RNA
Source: RNAcentral
GGCGAAGGGGGCUAGCGUUGUUCGGAAUUACUGGGCGUAAAGCGCGUGUAGGCGGUUGCCAAAGUCGGGUGUGAAAGCCUUGAGCUCAACUCAAGAAAUGCACUCGAUACUUGGUGACUAGAGGACCGGAGAGGAUAGUGGAAUUCCCAGUGUAGUGGUGAAAUACGUAGAGAUUGGGAAGAACACCAGUGGCGAAGGCGGCUAUCUGGACGGUUUCUGACGCUAAGACGCGAAAGCGUGGGGAGCAAACAGG